This 468-nucleotide ribosomal RNA is filed under the name uncultured bacterium. RNAcentral's name for it is "partial 16S ribosomal RNA". It matches the Rfam family "Bacterial small subunit ribosomal RNA", at positions 28 to 507 of the family's 1533-position model. The record is from RNAcentral.
GACGAACGCUGGCGGCGUGCUUAACACAUGCAAGUCGAACGGAAAGGCCCUGCUUUUGUGGGGUGCUCGAGUGGCGAACGGGUGAGUAACACGUGAGUAACCUGCCCUUGACUUUGGGAUAACUUCAGGAAACUGGGGCUAAUACCGGAUAGGAGCUCCUGCUGCAUGGUGGGGGUUGGAAAGUUUCGGCGGUUGGGGAUGGACUCGCGGCUUAUCAGCUUGUUGGUGGGGUAGUGGCUUACCAAGGCUUUGACGGGUAGCCGGCCUGAGAGGGUGACCGGCCACAUGGGGCCUGCGGGACGGCCCAGACGCCUACGGGAGGCAGCAGUGGGGAAUAUUGCACAGUGGGCGGAAGCCUGAUGCAGCAGCGCCGCGUGCGGGAUGACGGCCUUCGGGUUGUAAACCGCUUUCGCCUGUGACGAAGCGUGAGUGGCGGUAAUGGGUAAAGAAGCACCGGCUAACUACGUG